GAUGAAGAACGCAGCGAAACGCGAUAAGUAAUGUGAAUUGCAGAAUUCAGUGAAUCAUCGAAUCUUUGAACGCACAUUGCGCCCCCUGGUAUUCCGGGGGGCAUGCCUGUCCGAGCGUCAUUACAACCCUCAAGCUCAGCUUGGUGUUGGGCCCCGCCGCCCCGGCGGGCCCUAAAGUCAGUGGCGGUGCCGUCCGGCUCCGAGCGUAGUAAUUCUUCUCGCUCUGGAGGUCCGGUCGUGUGCUCGCCAGCAACCCCCAAUUUUUUUCAGGUUGACCUCGGAUCAGGUAGGGAUACCCGCUGAACUUAAGCAUAUCAAUAAGCGGAGGA
This 329-nucleotide unclassified non-coding RNA is filed under the name soil metagenome. RNAcentral describes it as "partial contains 5.8S ribosomal RNA, internal transcribed spacer 2, and large subunit ribosomal RNA". The stretch from base 1 to 120 matches the Rfam family "5.8S ribosomal RNA", at positions 35 to 154 of the family's 154-position model. The record is from RNAcentral.